GCCGAAGUGGUGGAACUGGUAGACGCGCUGGAUUCAAAAUCCAGUAUCCGCAAGGGUGUGUGGGUUCGAGUCCCACCUUCGGCACCA
This 87-nucleotide transfer RNA is filed under the name Candidatus Latescibacterota bacterium. RNAcentral's name for it is "tRNA-Leu". It matches the Rfam family "tRNA". From Rfam's summary of the family: Transfer RNA (tRNA) molecules are approximately 80 nucleotides in length. RNAcentral also lists the same sequence under 1 other name. The record is from RNAcentral. Lineage: Bacteria; Pseudomonadati; Candidatus Latescibacterota.